GUGCGCCCAAGAGGAGUCGAACCUCUAACCGCUUGAUUCGUAGUCAAGUACUCUAUCCAGUUGAGCUAUGGGCGC
RNAcentral lists this transfer RNA (75 nucleotides) under Listeria monocytogenes M7. RNAcentral's name for it is "tRNA-Arg". The record is from RNAcentral. Lineage: Bacteria; Bacillati; Bacillota; Bacilli; Caryophanales; Listeriaceae.